RNAcentral lists this transfer RNA (74 nucleotides) under Fibrobacter sp. RNAcentral describes it as "tRNA-Arg". It matches the Rfam family "tRNA". From Rfam's summary of the family: Transfer RNA (tRNA) molecules are approximately 80 nucleotides in length. Their secondary structure includes four short double-helical elements and three loops (D, anti-codon, and T loops). The record is from RNAcentral. RNAcentral also lists the same sequence under 2 other names. Lineage: Bacteria; Pseudomonadati; Fibrobacterota; Fibrobacteria; Fibrobacterales; Fibrobacteraceae.
GCCUCCAUAGCUCAGUUGGAUAGAGCAACUGCCUUCUAAGCAGUAGGUCGUGCGUUCGAGCCGCGCUGGAGGUA